ACUCCUACGGGAGGCAUCAGUGGGAAUAUUGCACAAUGGGCGCAAGCCUGAUGCAGCCAUGCCGCGUGUAUGAAGAAGGCCUUCGGGUUGUAAAGUACUUUCAGUCAGAUGAGGAAGGUUGGGUAUGUUAAUAGCAUGACUUCAUUUGACGUUAGCUUGCAGAAGAAGCACCGGCUAACUCCGUGCCAGCAGCCGCGGUAAUACGGAGGGUGCGAGCGUUAAUCGGAAUUACUGGGCGUAAAGCGCAUGCAGGUGGUUUGUUAAGUCAGAUGUGAAAGCCC
RNAcentral lists this ribosomal RNA (281 nucleotides) under uncultured bacterium. RNAcentral describes it as "partial 16S ribosomal RNA". It matches the Rfam family "Bacterial small subunit ribosomal RNA", at positions 335 to 603 of the family's 1533-position model. The record is from RNAcentral.